UCUUUCUCUUUCUCGGUUUCCUCCUCCUCCUCUCUCCAGUCCAGUCUCCUUUCCGUUUCCUCGAUUCCAGCCGGGAGAGGAGGGGCGGCGCAACGCAGAGAUGGCGACGACGACGCUACAGGAGCUCAAGGAUAUCUUCUUCGGGCAUGUGCUGGGCAAGAAGGGGGAGGCUGUCCAAGAGCUGGAGGUCUCCAUACGUGCCAAGGGAAAUGUGACUCCUGCGGAGGAUGUCAUUCUCCGGCUUAGCACGGUCUUCUCGAACUUUACCUACACUGUGACCGCUGCGGCAACAACUGUCCUUACAUCGUUUGCUACUGGUCAAGUACAAAAAUUUGGUGGGGGUCCACCUCUGCCUCGAUUUGUAAGGUUCGGCAUAUGUGCUGGUGGUGGUUUGGUUACAGGGAAGGUGCUAUAUUAUGUAUCCUUGCAUGCGUUUGCUGAAUUUAUAUUGGCCCAUAAAGAGGAGAAACGCUUGAAAAUGGAGUUAGCUAAUAUGUGCGAAUACUUACUAACCAUAGUGAUGAGAAAUUCUUGGUUCAAGCUGUACAAAAGCAUUUCUUUGCCGAGCAUCUCUACAGUGAUCAACAUCAAGAUAAACCACUUUUCAGGUGGCGCCAGCGUCACUCGUAUGUUGACAGCACCUAUAUGGAAAGGUUGAAGGAGAUUGAAGCAAACAACUCUGAAGAUAAAGUUAAAACAAUUUCUGGCCAGGCAGCGAGAUCAUUUGGAGAUCUCAUGGAGGACCCACUGGCUUGUAUACUGGGUUCUCCAGACAGCAAUAUGGGGAGCGAUAAGCCCCCUGAGCACAAAGCUACUAUCCUCAGGAGAAGAGACUUGCGAGCUCAGAGGAGAAGUCAGCGGCAUCAUCAUCGGCAUGCUACAUUGUGAAGAUAUUUGAUUUAGACCGCUCGCUUUUGAAGCUUGAGCCUCAUCUUGAUCAUGAUGGACCACAACAGUGUGCCUUCACUUUGUUAUUCGACAAAACAUUGCAGAUGUUGUGGAAAAUGUCAAAGAACAUCCUGAGUUUGCCUCCAAUCCUGUUUUGGUCUGACCUGAAGGUGUGAUCUCUGGUUCUCUGUUUGUGGCCCUCUCACAUUGCGUGCUACAAAGGGACUUGCAAUUCUUCACAUAUGACGUUUGGCAGUUUGUGUUGCCUGAAACUUUCGUCUCUGGUUAUCGGUCAUGUGGUACUCUCCUCAACGAACAUUCGUACUUGGAGAAAAUCGUAUUGCCUGAAAUUCGUUUUCUUGUGAUGGCUUGUCGAAGGAAGACGAUGCUUGUAAUUAUCUACUGUGAUGUUCUGUAUGGACUGACGCAUCCGGCCAAUUUCUCUAGAAUGCUCCUUUUGAAAAGCUCUGCUCUACUGUUUUCUGUGCAA
This is an RNA transcript of Brachypodium distachyon (stiff brome), 1378 nucleotides long. RefSeq lists it as uncharacterized. The record is from RefSeq and is a predicted model, not a curated record. NCBI's taxonomy places the organism in Eukaryota, Viridiplantae, Streptophyta, Magnoliopsida, Poales, Poaceae. The transcript is spliced from 9 exons.